UCUAUGCAACUGCACUGUCUCAGGACCUC
This 29-nucleotide non-coding RNA is filed under the name Rattus norvegicus (Norway rat). The record is from RNAcentral. Lineage: Eukaryota; Metazoa; Chordata; Mammalia; Rodentia; Muridae.